AUUGAACGCUGGCGGCAUGCUUUACACAUGCAAGUCGAACGGUAACAGGUCUCUAGGUGCUGACGAGUGGCGAACGGUGGUGUAAUGCAUCGGAAUGUGCCCAGUCGUGUGGGUGAACUAGUGGAUAGAGUAGCUAAUACCGCAUACGAUCUAUGGUGUACUGCGGGGGACCGCAAGGCCUCGCGCGUGUGUUUGUUCGGAUGUCAGAUUAGUUAGUUGGUGGGGUAAAGGGUCACCAAGGCAACGAUCUGUAGCUGGUCUGAGAGGAGAAGCAGCCACACUGGAACUGAGACACGGCCCAGACUCCUACGGGAGGACGCAGUGGGCACAUUUGGACAAUGGGCGCAAGCCUGAUCCAGCAAUGCCGCGUGGCAGAAGAAGGAACUCGGGUUGUAAACUGCUUUUGUUCGGAACGACAAAAAACUGGUUAAUACCCGGGGGUAAUGACGGUACCGUAAGAAUAAGCACCGGCUAACUACGUG
Molecule: ribosomal RNA, 482 nt
Filed under: uncultured bacterium
Lineage: Bacteria
Description: partial 16S ribosomal RNA
Rfam family: Bacterial small subunit ribosomal RNA
Source: RNAcentral